Molecule: long non-coding RNA, 87 nt
Organism: Gavialis gangeticus (Gharial)
Lineage: Eukaryota; Metazoa; Chordata; Crocodylia; Gavialidae
Exons: 3
Source: RefSeq, a predicted model, not a curated record
UUACUGUGAAUGAUUGAGGCACUGGUAGGCUUCCAAAUUGCUUUAAAAUUGUAAAUGUAUCAAGAAACCGUUGUGUUCACCUGAUAC